RNAcentral lists this ribosomal RNA (405 nucleotides) under uncultured bacterium. RNAcentral's name for it is "partial 16S ribosomal RNA". It matches the Rfam family "Bacterial small subunit ribosomal RNA", at positions 28 to 526 of the family's 1533-position model. The record is from RNAcentral.
GAUGAACGCUGGCGGCGUGCCUAAUACAUGCAAGUCGAACGAAGUGGGGACGGGUGAGUAAUACGUGGGUAACCUCCUAUAAGACUGGGAUAACUUCGGGAAACCGGACCUAAACCGGUUACUUAUCGGUUGAUCAUCGCUGGAUUAGCUAGUUGGUAAGUUAACGGCUUACCAAGGCAACGUUGCCUAGCCGACCUGAGAGGUUGAUCGGCCACACUGGAACUGAGACACGGUCCAGACUCCUACGGGAGGCAGCAGUAGGGAAUAGUGCGCAAUGGGCGAAAGCCUGACGGAGCAACGCCGCGUGAGUGAUGAAGGUCUUCGGAUCGUAAAACUCUGUUAUUAGGGAAGCGGUACCUAAUCAGAAAGCCACGGCUAACUACGUGCCAGCAGCCGCGGUAAUUC